CGGAAGUUUUCGGAUGGAAGCAGUAAACCUUAGCGGCGGACGGGUGAGUAACGCGUGGGUAACCUGCCUCAUACAGGGGGAUAACAGUUAGAAAUGACUGCUAAAACCGCAUAAGCGCACAUUGUCGAGUGACAGAGUGUGAAAAACUCCGGUGGUAUGAGAUGGACCCGCGUCUGAUUAGCUAGUUGGUGAGGUAACGGCCCACCAAGGCGACGAUCAGUAGCCGGCCUGAGAGGGCGACCGGCCACAUUGGGACUGAGACACGGCCCAAACUCCUACGGGAGGCAGCAGUGGGGAAUAUUGCACAAUGGGGGAAACCCUGAUGCAGCGACGCCGCGUGAGUGAAGAAGUAUUUCGGUAUGUAAAGCUCUAUCAGCAGGGAAGAAGAAAGACGGUACCUGACUAAGAAGCCCCGGCUAACUACGUGCCAGCAGCCGCGGCAAUACGUAGGGGGCAAGCGUUAUCCGGAUUUACUGGGUGUAAAGGGAGCGUAGACGGCUGUGCAAGUCUGAAGUGAAAGCCCAGGGCUCAACCCUGGGACUGCUUUGGAAACUGUGGAGCUAGAGUGCUGGAGAGGUAAGUGGAAUUCCUAGUGUAGCGGUGAAAUGCGUAGAUAUUAGGAGGAACACCAGUGGCGAAGGCGGCUUACUGGACAGUAACUGACGUUGAGGCUCGAAAGCGUGGGGAGCAAACAGGAUUAGAUACCCUGGUAGUCCACGCGGUAAACGAUGAAUACUAGGUGUUGGAGAGCAAAGCUUUUCGGUGCCGUCGCAAACGCAAUAAGUA
This 786-nucleotide ribosomal RNA is filed under the name uncultured bacterium. RNAcentral's name for it is "bacterial SSU rRNA". It matches the Rfam family "Bacterial small subunit ribosomal RNA", at positions 67 to 866 of the family's 1533-position model. The record is from RNAcentral.